GUCUACAGCCAUGCCACCCUGAACAAACUCCAUCCUAUCUGAUCUCAGAAGCUAAGCAGAGUUGGGCCUGGUUAGUACUUGGAUGGGACCACCUAGGAAGACCAGGUGCUAUAGGCA
Molecule: ribosomal RNA, 117 nt
Filed under: Pteropus alecto (black flying fox)
Lineage: Eukaryota; Metazoa; Chordata; Mammalia; Chiroptera; Pteropodidae
Source: RNAcentral